CACCGCGGUUAUACGAGAGGCCCAAGUUGACAGACACCGGCGUAAAGCGUGGUUAAGGAAAACUUAGACUAAAGCCGAACACCUUCAAGGCAGUUAUACGCAUCCGAAGAUACGAAGCCCCACCACGAAAGUGGCUUUAUAACCCCUGACCCCACGAAAGCUAUGAUA
This 168-nucleotide ribosomal RNA is filed under the name Tetragonurus cuvieri. Its description in RNAcentral is "partial small subunit ribosomal RNA". The record is from RNAcentral. Lineage: Eukaryota; Metazoa; Chordata; Actinopteri; Scombriformes; Tetragonuridae.